GUGGAGACGUCGCUGCCGUGAU
RNAcentral lists this small nuclear RNA (22 nucleotides) under Arabidopsis thaliana (thale cress). RNAcentral's name for it is "snRNA_15258". Lineage: Eukaryota; Viridiplantae; Streptophyta; Magnoliopsida; Brassicales; Brassicaceae. The record is from RNAcentral.